CCUACGGGAGGCAGCAGUGAGGAAUAUUGGUCAAUGGGCGUGAGCCUGAACCAGCCAAGUCGCGUGAAGGAUGACUGCCCUAUGGGUUGUAAACUUCUUUUAUAAGGGAAUAAAACGCGGCACGUGUGCCUUUUUGUAUGUACCUUAUGAAUAAGGAUCGGCUAACUCCGUGCCAGCAGCCGCGGUAAUACGGAGGAUCCGAGCGUUAUCCGGAUUUAUUGGGUUUAAAGGGAGCGUAGGUGGGUUGUUAAGUCAGUUGUGAAAGUUUGCGGCUCAACCGUAAAAUUGCCGUUGAUACUGGCAGUCUUGAGUACAGUUGAGGUAGGCGGAAUGCGUGGUGUAGCGGUGAAAUGCUUAGAUAUCACGAAGAACCCCGAUUGCGAAGGCAGCUUACUAAGCCGUGACUGACACUGAUGCACGAAAGUGUGGGUAUCAAACAGGAUUAGAUACCCGAGUAGUC
RNAcentral lists this ribosomal RNA (460 nucleotides) under uncultured bacterium. RNAcentral describes it as "partial 16S ribosomal RNA". It matches the Rfam family "Bacterial small subunit ribosomal RNA", at positions 338 to 795 of the family's 1533-position model. The record is from RNAcentral.